AGGCCGUUCCAAGAUGCUGUCAAAAUUAAAUCAAUAUGGCUACUGGAAGGCAAACAUUGAAUAUUAUUCUAUCAGGUUCUUAUGGUUUUAGAUCAUUUUAGUUGUUGUACAAAGAUUAAUUUAACAUUUUCUCUGGAAGUAUUAAUUUAGAAAGAUAAUAUGCCUCAUUGGUGUUGUGUUUUGAAGUGUGAAAUGCAAAGUAAUCGUGAUAAAGUUAGCUUUUACCACUUACCAUCAGUGCUACAUUCUAAGCACAAAACUGAACCAAUUUAACUAAAUAAGUUAUAGUUAUCAUCUGAGAGACAACAACAAUGGUAAAAUGCAAUAAAAUAUAAAGAUUUUACUAGCAAAAUGGAAAUUCCCCUGUAAUCAUCUUAUAUCUGGUAAGUUACAACAUUUGAACAUUAACGAUUUUUGAAGAUGUUAACAGUCUAAUCUUGUAGGAAAACCAGCCGACUUAACUGAUAAUAACAAUCCAGAUUGGGUUCCUUCAAUAAAUAUGGGGUAUAUAAACACAAUGAAAUGAGUUCCCCAAAAUCUAAAAUGGGAAUUAAGGUACCAAAGGAGAAUUAAAAGAAAAGGGUACCUACAAGAAAAAAUUGCUUUUUUAUUCCUCUUGAAAUGAUUUAUAAGACACUGGACUGUCUUAUAUUCUACAAAUACUAGAAUCAGCUGAGAGAAGUGGUCUACAAAAACCCAGGAAGGAAACGGAAUAUGUGGCUACGAAAGGCAAAAGAAAGGUUUACAAAGCAAAUGUGACACAUUUUUUUGAAAUAUGUAGGAAUAUCAGUAAAUUGCAUUAAAAAAAUGUAUGAAAAGAUUUUGUUCAAUAAAAAUGUUUAUAUUUA
Molecule: long non-coding RNA, 848 nt
Organism: Diabrotica virgifera virgifera (western corn rootworm)
Lineage: Eukaryota; Metazoa; Arthropoda; Insecta; Coleoptera; Chrysomelidae
Exons: 2
Source: RefSeq, a predicted model, not a curated record